UGGGGAAUAUUGCACAUUGGGCGCAAGCCUGAUGCAGCCAUGCCGCGUGUAUGAAGAAGGCCUUCGGGUUGUAAAGUACUUUCAGCGGGGAGGAAGGGAGUAAAGUUAAUACCUUUGCUCAUUGACGUUACCCGCAGAAGAAGCACCGGCUAACUCCGUGCCAGCAGUCGCGGUAAUACGGAGGGUGCAAGCGUUAAUCGGAAUUACUGGGCGUAAAGCGCACGCAGGCGGUUUGUUAAGUCAGAUGUGAAAUCCCCGGGCUCAACCUGGGAACUGCAUCUGAUACUGGCAAGCUUGAGUCUCGUAGAGGGGGGUAGAAUUCCAGGUGUAGCGGUGAAAUGCGUAGAGAUCUGGAGGAAUACCGGUGGCGAAGGCGGCCCCCUGGACGAAGACUGACGCUCAGGUGCGAAAGCGUGGGGAGCAAACAGG
This 429-nucleotide ribosomal RNA is filed under the name Chloroflexota bacterium. RNAcentral's name for it is "Chloroflexi bacterium partial 16S ribosomal RNA". It matches the Rfam family "Bacterial small subunit ribosomal RNA", at positions 355 to 776 of the family's 1533-position model. The record is from RNAcentral. Lineage: Bacteria; Bacillati; Chloroflexota.